This 64-nucleotide transfer RNA is filed under the name Ochterus marginatus. Its description in RNAcentral is "tRNA-Ile". The record is from RNAcentral. Lineage: Eukaryota; Metazoa; Arthropoda; Insecta; Hemiptera; Ochteridae.
AGUGAGGUGCCUGAUUAAAAGGGCUAUUUUGAUAGAAUAGAUAAUGUAUUUCGUACCCUUACUA